This 116-nucleotide ribosomal RNA is filed under the name Salmonella enterica subsp. enterica serovar Heidelberg. Lineage: Bacteria; Pseudomonadati; Pseudomonadota; Gammaproteobacteria; Enterobacterales; Enterobacteriaceae. The record is from RNAcentral. RNAcentral also lists the same sequence under 5 other names.
CCUAGCGGCAGUAGCGCGGUGGUCCCACCUGACCCCAUGCCGAACUCAGAAGUGAAACGCCGUAGCGCCGAUGGUAGUGUGGGGUCUCCCCAUGCGAGAGUAGGGAACUGCCAGGC